GGUCAAGUUAUUAAGGGUGCAGGGCGGAUGCCUUGGCACUAGGAGCCGAUGAAGGACGUGAUAAGCUGCGAUAAGCUUCGGGGAGUUGCACGUAAACUUUGAUCCGAAGAUUUCCGAAUGAGGAAACUCACUUAGAGUAAUGUCUAAGUAUCAUUAAGUGAAUACAUAGCUUAAUGAGGGGAACUCAGGGAACUGAAACAUCUAAGUACCUGAAGGAAGAGAAAGAAAUUCGAUUCCGUAAGUAGCGGCGAGCGAACGCGGAUUAGCCCAAACCAAUAAAGUUUUCUUUAUUGGGGUUGAGGACAUACCACAUAUAAGAGGUCAUUAUAGACGAAGAAGUUUGGAAAAACUCAUCAUAGAAGGUAAUAAUCCUGUAGUCAAAAUAAUAAUUCUUUAGGUAUGAUCCAGAGUACCACGGGACACGUGAAACCCUGUGGGAAGCAGGAGGGACCACCCUCCAAGGCUAAAUACUACCUAGUGACCGAUAGCGUAUAGUACCGUGAGGGAAAGGUGAAAAGAACCCCGGGAGGGGAGUGAAAUAGAACCUGAAACCCUGCACUUACAAGCUGUGGAAGCACAUUUCUUGUGUGACCGCGUACUUUUUGUAGAACGGGCCAACGAGUUACGUUAAGUAGCAAGGUUAAGCACUUAAGGUGCGGAGCCGUAGCGAAAGCGAGUUUUAACUGAGCGUUCAGUUACUUGACGUAGACCCGAAACCGGGCGACCUACCCAUGAGCAGGAUGAAGCGAAAGUAAAAUUUCGUGGAGGUCCGAACCCACGAGCGUUGAAAAGCUCGGGGAUGACUUGUGGGUAGCGGUGAAAUUCCAAUCGAGCCCGGAGAUAGCUGGUUCUCCCCGAAAUAGCUUUAGGGCUAGCCUCAAGGUGAGAGAUACGGAGGUAGAGCACUGAAUGUCCUAGGGGGUAUUGCACCUACCGAAGACUAUCAAACUCCGAAUGCCGUCAUCUUAUACUUGGGAGUCAGACUGUGGGUGAUAAGAUUCAUAGUCGAAAGGGCAACAGCCCAGAUCGUCAGCUAAGGUCCCUAAAUGUAAGUUAAGUGGUAAAGGAUGUGGGAUUGCACAGACAACCAGGAUGUUGGCUUAGAAGCAGCCACUCAUUCAAAGAGUGCGUAAUAGCUCACUGGUCGAGUGAUCCUGCGCCGAAGAUUUCCGGGGCUAAAACUUACUACCGAAGCUACGGCAUCAGUAAUGAUGGGUAGGGGAGCUUCCCAUACGGGUUGAAGCAUGACCGUAAGGACAUGUGGACAGUAUGGGAGUGAGAAUGUUGGCAUGAGUAGCGAGAUGUGGGUGAGAAU
RNAcentral lists this ribosomal RNA (1315 nucleotides) under Clostridioides difficile. RNAcentral describes it as "partial 23S ribosomal RNA". It matches the Rfam family "Bacterial large subunit ribosomal RNA", at positions 1 to 1328 of the family's 2925-position model. Lineage: Bacteria; Bacillati; Bacillota; Clostridia; Peptostreptococcales; Peptostreptococcaceae. The record is from RNAcentral.